RNAcentral lists this ribosomal RNA (1638 nucleotides) under Escherichia coli. RNAcentral describes it as "partial 23S ribosomal RNA". It matches the Rfam family "Bacterial large subunit ribosomal RNA", at positions 1214 to 2830 of the family's 2925-position model. Lineage: Bacteria; Pseudomonadati; Pseudomonadota; Gammaproteobacteria; Enterobacterales; Enterobacteriaceae. The record is from RNAcentral.
CUAUGUGUUGUUGGGUAGGGGAGCGUUCUGUAAGCCUGCGAAGGUGUACUGUGAGGUAUGCUGGAGGUAUCAGAAGUGCGAAUGCUGACAUAAGUAACGAUAAAGCGGGUGAAAAGCCCGCUCGCCGGAAGACCAAGGGUUCCUGUCCAACGUUAAUCGGGGCAGGGUGAGUCGACCCCUAAGGCGAGGCCGAAAGGCGUAGUCGAUGGGAAACAGGUUAAUAUUCCUGUACUUGGUGUUACUGCGAAGGGGGGACGGAGAAGGCUAUGUUGGCCGGGCGACGGUUGUCCCGGUUUAAGCGUGUAGGCUGAUUUUCCAGGCAAAUCCGGAAAAUCAAGGCUGAGGCGUGAUGACGAGGCACUACGGUGCUGAAGCAACAAAUGCCCUGCUUCCAGGAAAAGCCUCUAAGCAUCAGGUAACAUCAAAUCGUACCCCAAACCGACACAGGUGGUCAGGUAGAGAAUACCAAGGCGCUUGAGAGAACUCGGGUGAAGGAACUAGGCAAAAUGGUGCCGUAACUUCGGGAGAAGGCACGCUGAUAUGUAGGUGAAGUCCCUCGCGGAUGGAGCUGAAAUCAGUCGAAGAUACCAGCUGGCUGCAACUGUUUAUUAAAAACACAGCACUGUGCAAACACGAAAGUGGACGUAUACGGUGUGACGCCUGCCCGGUGCCGGAAGGUUAAUUGAUGGGGUUAGCGGUAACGCGAAGCUCUUGAUCGAAGCCCCGGUAAACGGCGGCCGUAACUAUAACGGUCCUAAGGUAGCGAAAUUCCUUGUCGGGUAAGUUCCGACCUGCACGAAUGGCGUAAUGAUGGCCAGGCUGUCUCCACCCGAGACUCAGUGAAAUUGAACUCGCUGUGAAGAUGCAGUGUACCCGCGGCAAGACGGAAAGACCCCGUGAACCUUUACUAUAGCUUGACACUGAACAUUGAGCCUUGAUGUGUAGGAUAGGUGGGAGGCUUUGAAGUGUGGACGCCAGUCUGCAUGGAGCCGGCCUUGAAAUACCACCCUUUAAUGUUUGAUGUUCUAACGUUGGCCCCUGAUCGGGGUUGCGGACAGUGUCUGGUGGGUAGUUUGACUGGGGCGGUCUCCUCCUAAAGAGUAACGGAGGAGCACGAAGGUUGGCUAAUCCUGGUCGGACAUCAGGAGGUUAGUGCAAUGGCAUAAGCCAGCUUGACUGCGAGCGUGACGGCGCGAGCAGGUGCGAAAGCAGGUCAUAGUGAUCCGGUGGUUCUGAAUGGAAGGGCCAUCGCUCAACGGAUAAAAGGUACUCCGGGGAUAACAGGCUGAUACCGCCCAAGAGUUCAUAUCGACGGCGGUGUUUGGCACCUCGAUGUCGGCUCAUCACAUCCUGGGGCUGAAGUAGGUCCCAAGGGUAUGGCUGUUCGCCAUUUAAAGUGGUACGCGAGCUGGGUUUAGAACGUCGUGAGACAGUUCGGUCCCUAUCUGCCGUGGGCGCUGGAGAACUGAGGGGGGCUGCUCCUAGUACGAGAGGACCGGAGUGGACGCAUCACUGGUGUUCGGGUUGUCAUGCCAAUGGCACUGCCCGGUAGCUAAAUGCGGAAGAGAUAAGUGCUGAAAGCAUCUAAGCACGAAACUUGCCCCGAGAUGAGUUCUCCCUGACUCCUUGAGAGUCCUG